RNAcentral lists this unclassified non-coding RNA (347 nucleotides) under soil metagenome. RNAcentral's name for it is "partial contains 5.8S ribosomal RNA, internal transcribed spacer 2, and large subunit ribosomal RNA". The stretch from base 1 to 120 matches the Rfam family "5.8S ribosomal RNA", at positions 35 to 154 of the family's 154-position model. The record is from RNAcentral.
GAUGAAGAACGCAGCGAAAUGCGAUAAGUAAUGUGAAUUGCAGAAUUCAGUGAAUCAUCGAGUCUUUGAACGCACAUUGCGCCCCCUGGUAUUCCGGGGGGCAUGCCUGUCCGAGCGUCAUUGCUGCCCUCAAGCACGGCUUGUGUGUUGGGCCGCCGUCCCCGGUUUCCCCCGGGGACGGGCCCGAAAGGCAGCGGCGGCACCGCGUCCGAUCCUCGAGCGUAUGGGGCUUUGUCACCCGCUCUGUAGGCCCGGCCGGCGCCAGCCGACACCCAACUUUAUUUCUAAGGUUGACCUCGGAUCAGGUAGGGAUACCCGCUGAACUUAAGCAUAUCAAUAAGCGAGGA